GACGAACGCUGGCGGCGUGCUUAACACAUGCAAGUCGAACGGAAAGGCCCUGCUUUUGUGGGGUGCUCGAGUGGCGAACGGGUGAGUAACACGUGAGUAACCUGCCCUUGUCUUUGGGAUAACUUCAGGAAACUGGGGCUAAUACCGGAUAGGAGCUCCUGCUGCAUGGUGGGGGUUGGAAAGUUUCGGCGGUUGGGGAUGGACUCGCGGCUUAUCAGCUUGUUGGUGGGGUAGUGGCUUACCAAGGCUUUGACAGGUAGCCGGCCUGAGAGGGUGACCGGCCACAUUGGGACUGAGAUACGGCCCAGACUCCUACGGGAGGCAGCAGUGGGGAAUAUUGCACAAUGGGCGGAAGCCUGAUGCAGCAACGCCGCGUGCGGGAUGACGGCCUUCGGGUUGUAAACCGCUUUCGCCUGUGACGAAGCGUGAGUGACGGUAAUGGGUAAAGAAGCACCGGCUAACUACGUG
RNAcentral lists this ribosomal RNA (468 nucleotides) under uncultured bacterium. RNAcentral's name for it is "partial 16S ribosomal RNA". It matches the Rfam family "Bacterial small subunit ribosomal RNA", at positions 28 to 507 of the family's 1533-position model. The record is from RNAcentral.